AUCCAGCUGACGAGUCCAACGUAGGAUGAAACGUACAUCCUGGAU
Non-coding RNA from Schistosoma haematobium, 45 nucleotides. NCBI's taxonomy places the organism in Eukaryota, Metazoa, Platyhelminthes, Trematoda, Strigeidida, Schistosomatidae. The record is from Rfam.